AAAACUUUAGUAUAUUUAGUAUUUUUAAUUGCAAAUUGAAAGGUUUAAGUUUUU
RNAcentral lists this transfer RNA (54 nucleotides) under Allodiplogaster sp. MY-2022. RNAcentral's name for it is "tRNA-Cys". Lineage: Eukaryota; Metazoa; Nematoda; Chromadorea; Rhabditida; Diplogasteridae. The record is from RNAcentral.